AGGGCACUCUAAGGAGACUGCCGGUGACAAACCGGAGGAAGGUGGGGAUGACGUCAAGUCAUCAUGCCCCUUAUGGGUAGGGCUACACACGUCAUACAAUGGUCGGUACAAAGGGCAGCGAACCCGCGAGGGGAAGCCAAUCCCAGAAAGCCAUUCUCAGUUCGGAUUGCAGUCUGCAACUCGCCUGCAUGAAGCCGGAAUCGCUAGUAAUCGCGGAUCAGCAUGCCGCGGUGAAUACGUUCCCGGGUCUUGUACACACCGCCCGUCACACC
RNAcentral lists this ribosomal RNA (272 nucleotides) under Shouchella clausii. RNAcentral describes it as "Bacillus clausii partial 16S ribosomal RNA". It matches the Rfam family "Bacterial small subunit ribosomal RNA", at positions 1132 to 1403 of the family's 1533-position model. Lineage: Bacteria; Bacillati; Bacillota; Bacilli; Caryophanales; Bacillaceae. The record is from RNAcentral.